GGCCACCAAGAGAUUGGGUCCCUGUGCCAAUGCGCUAUCGGACUUCUCGUCUUGGCUUUAACCUUUUUCCCUUUUGCAACCUUUUUCGACCAACCUUCGUCUCCAGACUCGUCCACCCUAUAAAUUGUCUCGCCAGACCAUUCCAAUCCGGCAACUCCUGCUCUGCCUGAGCCUGAGCGUAGGCGGCUACCAGAGAGAAGGGUAGGCGGCGCCGGCGGCGGGAGCAAUAGAAGAGCGGUAAAUCCAAGAGAGAUCAGAGCCUCGGAGGGAAACAGAAGCGCACAGAGCAUGGAGAGCCCGAUCUCGAGGACUAACCUGAAUUGCAUCAGCCUGGCGGACCCGAACGUCCAGAAAUCAGUGGCGCUCCUCAAGCAGGCAUGCCUGGAUUCAGGCUUCUUCUAUGUUGUGGAUCAUGGGAUAAGCCAAGAGUUCAUGGAUGAAGUUUUUGCCCAGAGCAAGAAGUUCUUUGACCUUCCUCAUAGUGAGAAAAUGAAGCUUCUCCGAGACGAGAAGAAUAGAGGGUACACACCCAUGCUAGAUGAAAUUCUUGAUCCUGAAAAUCAAGUUAAUGGUGACUACAAGGAAGGAUAUUAUAUUGGAGUUGAGGUACCUGCAGAUGAUCCAGAAGCAAACAGGCCAUUUUAUGGUCCAAAUCAGUGGCCUUCUAAAGAAGUACUACCAAAAUGGAGAGAAGUGAUGGAGCAAUAUCACAGGGAGGCAUUGAUAGUAGCAAAAUCAGUCGCAAGGAUCAUCGCUCUUGCUCUAGAUCUAGACGUGGACUUCUUCGAUAGACCUGAAAUGCUUGGCGAGUCCAUAGCCACGCUAAGGCUCCUGCACUACGAAGGUGGACAAGAAACAGGUAAGGUGUCAGAUCCUGCAAAGGGUGUUUACGGAGCGGGCGCCCAUUCAGACUACGGCCUGAUAACUCUCCUGGCAACCGAUGAUGUAGUUGGGCUCCAAAUAUGCAAGGACAAGAACGCUCAGCCUCAACUGUGGGAAUACGUAGCUCCGUUGAAAGGCGGAUUUAUCGUCAACCUUGGCGACAUGCUCGAAAGGUGGAGUAACGGCGUUUUCAGGUCAACCUUACAUCGAGUGGUCCUAGAUGGGCGAGAACGCUACUCGUGGCGGCGGGGUGUUCUCGCCUUGUCUUGAACAGAUAGCCUACUUCGUGGAACCAAGCCACGACUGCGUGGUGGAGUGCCUGCCGACCUGCAAGUCCGAAUCAAAUCCUCCAAAGUUCCCUCCGAUCACCUGCUCCGCGUACCUGUCCCAGCGCUACAAGGACACUCACGCGGAUCUGAAAUCCUACGACGACAGCAAGGCCUGAUCAGAGGACUGCCCUCUCCUCUCUCUGUCUCAGCGAUCAGUACGUACGACGUGUAUCCUGCAAUAACACUGGGUGGAGGGCGGCAGUACCAGUGUACCACAGUAUCAGUAUAGGUAUAGAGAGUUCUGUUGGUGCCACCGUGCCACCGUCCAUGUGUUCAUGUAAGAUGACGAGAAGAAUCAAGAACGGGGGCCGGCGUUGAGGUCCCCGGCCUUAAUCUAGGCCUUGUUGUUGCUGUCGUGUUGUGAGGUUCAAUCCCCGAGCUUAUCCUUUGGUGCUGUUGAGAGGUCCACAGUCCCCUUCGUUCCGUUUUGUUUUUGGUUUUGGUA
Molecule: RNA transcript, 1656 nt
Organism: Zea mays
Lineage: Eukaryota; Viridiplantae; Streptophyta; Magnoliopsida; Poales; Poaceae
Gene name: iron ion binding protein
Exons: 11
Source: RefSeq, marked validated